GAUACCUCUAUGUCUGCCAGAGUGGCAGAGAAA
This 33-nucleotide small RNA is filed under the name Anaerobutyricum hallii. Its description in RNAcentral is "CRISPR_Spacer". Lineage: Bacteria; Bacillati; Bacillota; Clostridia; Lachnospirales; Lachnospiraceae. The record is from RNAcentral.